Long non-coding RNA from Calypte anna (Anna's hummingbird), 568 nucleotides. RefSeq lists it as uncharacterized. Lineage: Eukaryota; Metazoa; Chordata; Aves; Apodiformes; Trochilidae. The transcript has 3 exons. The record is from RefSeq and is a predicted model, not a curated record.
CAGCAUCAGCCCAGGGAAAAAAACAAUAAUUUCCUCUUGUUCCAACAGCGUUUGCAGAAAUGUAAAGCAGCUGCCAAAGGCUUUGGUGCCCGCCAAGCUCCAGCUCGUGGGGAGACAAAGUUCAGCCCGGAGCUCGUGGGAUGCUGGAGGGGAUCUGCACAGGAACAAGAAGUUCAUUUUCCCUGCCACCAGCUCUCUGGAGGGUCCCUCACCUCCGGGUAGAUCCCAGUUUCUGCUCGGCUCUUCCCAAUGCAGCUCGUCCCUGGGACAGGCACCGACCUGCAUCUCCCCAGAGCCUUUCCAGGCACCAGCUGUGUGCUGCCCUGCAGGGUCAGGAGGUUCUUGUGCAGACAGGAAAAGGAUGUGUUGCAACAUGUGCCCAGAACAGGGAAGUGGAAGCUCUUGUUAUUUCAAGCCACAGCAGGAUGGGGAGGAAGCAACCGAGCCAGGAAGCCCAGAGGUUCCCCCAGUGCUGCUGACUCCAGCUGUGUACCAAAGGGAACAUCUGCCUGAGGAGCAGCCCUACAGCACAGAGGGUGCAGGAGCCCCAGCAGCAGAGGGUAGGGAU